AUAAGCCCCGGAUCGCCAUAUCCGCAAUACGAGCUGCCUUUGAAACAUCUGACUGCUUUUUUCAAUUUUUUUCAUCAUCGAAAACCUUAAUUCAGAUCCAUUUCACUUCUACAAUCUCUCAAAGAUUUUCACAAGCAGAUCUGGGAAAGGAGUGUUUUUGUGUUAACUGUUAAAGGCAUCAUCAAAACCAUCCAUCAAGGGUAGUUCAUUUCUGACAGUGCUCAAUCAAUCAUCUAUGUUGCCUUCUCUUUCUCUCUCUAGCUUGUAAUUCCAAGUAUAGUUAGAGAGAGAGAGAGAGAAUGAGUCAGUUGUUCGAAUACUUCGUGGUGUGUGGAAUUGGACCGGAGAUUCGUACGCUGGAUGGUGAAAAAGGGUUUCAUGGGACAGGGGUUUUCUAUUUGGCUUCUCUCCUUGAUCAGUACCCUCCUCCUACUCACAUGCUUUAUCCUCCUCCCCCGCCCCAGCUUCCCACAUGUGUUCUACCUGCUGGCGUGGAAUUCUACACAAGUGGGUUUGAUUCCAGGAAUGCAUUAUCUUUCCCACGCAGUUAUCCUAUUGUUUUAACUGACCUGCAGAUCUAUUCUAUUCAGUGUAUAAUGUUGUCUACACCGAAAAUGACAGAGGGUGAUGGUUCUAAGAUUUAUGUCAGUUGCAUUGCUUUUCGUGAUCCUGUUUGUGAGGAUAUUGCUGAAGCUUAUCACAUUCCGGCAAAUUCAUUUGCUGACAAAUGUAUAUGUCUGGUUUCACGCGCUCCCAGUUUUCACAUCCUUCGGGAAGUACUAGAGGAAAUAUAUCUACUUUGCUUUUCCUCAAAUGGAAGUAGCAAGCCAUUAUGGGAUGCUAUCGCAUAUACUGUGUCCAAAGUGCCUUUGCCUACUCCUGGAAAAGAACGGGUUCUCUUUGCAAUUGAGAAUAGCUUGCUUUCGGUUGACUUUCCACCAAAGGAUGGGCUUCCUCACGCUGAUAUAUCUUUUCAACCGCUGGUGCAGUGCCUGGAUGUCGACAAUUUCAUUAAACUGUUUACAGCUGUGUUGAUCGAGAGGAGGGUUUUGCUUCGAUCAAACAAAUACUCUCUAUUAACACUUGCUUCCGAAGCUAUAUGCCAUUUGAUCUACCCGUUCCGUUGGCAGCAUGUCUACAUUCCGUUGCUAUUUUUCAGUGGAGUAGACUAUAUUGAUGCUCCUACACCGUAUAUGAUGGGACUUCAUUCAGGUGUUGAUACUACUGGUCUGUCAAUGGAUGGUGUAGUGGUUGUUGAUCUUGAACAUAAUUGCAUCACCACCAACGAGGAAAUUCCUCCCAUCCCAGAGCCAGAAAUGAGUUCUUUACGUAGCGAUAUUCUGAAGUUAUUGCAUCCUAAUGUUGUUUGGAUAGACUCACUGAAGUCUGAUCUUGAGUCGUAUGAGCAAUAUGCAAGAUUUAAUAGAAAGGCUUGGUCACCAGAGAAUGAUGUUCAGCUCAGAAUCAUUUUUCUCAAGUUCUUUGCUUCAAUCUUGGGAGGCUACCGCAACUUCAUAGAAAAUACUGCAAAUCAAGUGUUCAACACUCAAGCAUUUCUGAAGAAGCGUUCGCGGGCAACUCACCAACCAAUAGAUGAGAUGGUAACUCAGUUUCUGGAAUCUCAAGGAUUCUUGGAUUAUUUAGAAAGAGGUAUAGGUUCUAGUGAAAACGGUAGUAAUCUUCUUGAUAAGUUGCAAGAUGCAAUUGGGCGAGGUCAAGAUCCUCUUUCUAUUUUGCCCUCAGCCUCAGCAGAGCCUGAGAUUAUAACUAUAUCAGACCCUGGUCUGGGAAUAUCAGGAUCUGGUACUAGAUAUACUUAUGACAGGUUCCCUUCCAACUAUAGAUCAGAAGAGCAGGAGGAAAAAAGGAAGCAGAUACUGUCAGCAGCUAGUGGAGCUCUUGAAUAUGCCAUAAAGCAUAAUCCUAGUUCACCUUCAAUGUUGGAUGGAGAGUCCAAAGGAGAAAGUCUAAGUCCUAGAGAGAGGGCUGCUGAACGGGAGCGCAUGGUCUUGGAUAUUAAAGUGAAGCUGCAGGGUCUAUGGUUACGUCUUUUGAAAUUGGGAGCGACUGAUGAUCCUCUUUCAUCAUUUGAAUAUGGAACAAUCCUUGCUUUGAUAGAAAUUGAUGCAGAGGGAAUUGGUGGUAGUGGCUUUGUUGAAUGUAUAAGGGAACAUAUUCACUCGGGUUGGCAAGGUCAAUUGACUGAAGAGCAGUUCAUUGCAGUGAAAGAACUGCUAAAAACGGCAAUCACUCGUGCUACAUCGCGGAAUGAUAUAGCAACUAUUAGAGAUGCCCUUGAGGUUUCAGCUGAAAUGUACAAGAAAGAUAGGAACCAUGUUUCUGAUUUUGUUCAGCGACAUCUACGUUCUCUUUCCAUCUGGGAGGAGUUACGCUUCUGGGACGUAUACUUUGAGUAUCUAAUGGAAUGUUUUUCAAACAAGUCAACUAACUAUGCAGCAUUGGUGACUGCACAGCUAAUCAUUUUGGCCACUCACAUGGCUGGAUUAGGUCUUCCUGACACGGAUUCAUGGUAUAUCAUCGAAACAAUUGCAGGGAAGAACAAUAUUGGUUACAGUCAUAUUAUAAAGCUUAGGGGAUAUAUGUCACAUAUCCAGCAACUAUGUAUUGGUUAUUGGGGUAUUUAUUCAGUCAAGUCUCAAAGUAUCUCGUCUUUAUCAUUGCCCUCCCCACGCCCACAAGAUGUUACAACCGACAAUCAACAACCUGCGGAGGCUUCUGGUAGGAGCUGGGUCCAGAGUAUGUUUAGCAGGGAUACUACUUUAAGGACCAACUCAUUCACUCGUGUCCGUAAGUGGACGUCUGACCAUGCUAAAAGUGAGAGUGGUGCUACUGGGCAACAUAAACUACAAUCUAGCAUACGGACACUUAGGGGCCAUAAUGGUGCAAUCACUGCAUUGCAUUGUGUGACACAAAGAGAAGUUUGGGACCUGGUAGGUGACCGUGAAGAUGCAGGCUUCUUUAUAAGUGGAAGUACAGACUGCACGGUUAAGAUUUGGGAUCCAAGUCUUCGUGGUAAUGAACUCAGGGCAACUCUAAAGGGACAUACAAGGACUGUCAGGGCAAUCAGUUCUGAUCGAGGAAAAAUUGUAUCAGGAUCUGAUGAUCACUAUGUGUUUGUAUGGGAUAAACAGACAACACAGCUUCUAGAAGAGCUGAAGGGCCAUGAUGCUGAGGUUAGCUGUGCUCGCAUGCUAUCUGGUGAGCGUGUGCUGACUGCAGCAUAUGAUGGAACAGUAAAAAUGUGGGAUGUAAGAACCGAUACCUGUGUUGCUACUGUGGGUCGUUGCUCCAGUGCUGUCCUUUGCAUGGAAUAUGAUGACUCUACCGGUGUGCUGGCUGCCGCUGGGAGAGAUGCGUAUGGUUGCAAACAUAUGGGACAUCCGGUCUGGUCGACAAAUGCACAAGCUUUUAGGACACUCCAAAUGGAUCAGGUCGAUAAGAAUGGUUGGGGACACUGUAAUCACUGGCAGUGAUGAUUGGACUGCCCGAAUGUGGUCAAUUUCUAGAGGAACAUGCGAUGCUGUAUUGGCUUGCCAUGCUGGCCCAGUUCUUUGUGUAGAGUACUCAAAGUCAGAUCGAGGAGUAAUAACUGGUUCAAGUGAUGGGCUGGUGAGGUUUUGGGAAAACGAGGAUGGAGGAUUAAAAAGUUCGAAAAAUGUUACGAUUCAUACUGGUGCUGUUCUUUCGAUUAAUGCUGGAGAGAAUUGGUUGGGAAUAGGAGCUGCUGAUAAUACCAUGUCUCUCUUCCAUCGCCCUCAAGAAAGACUUGGUGGAUUCUCUGGCACUGUUUCAAAGAUCUCAAGCUGGCAACUCUACAGAACACCGCAAAAAGCAGUAGCAAUGGUAAGAUGUGUGGCUUCAGAUCUUGAAAGGAAAAGGAUAUGCAGCGGUGGCCGCAACGGACUGCUCAGACUGUGGGAUGCAACCAUCAAUAUCUAAGAAUCUAAAUGAGGUCAGUUUGCAUUGUAUCAUCGACCAAUCUUCAUUUUUAUAGAUAAUAGAGUCCAACAGAUUAGCUAUUUCCUCCACUGUUGUUGUUCAAGGCUUGUAGUUGUAUUGUUUUUGGAAUUUAUCUUUGAUUUUUGAGAGACAAGAAUGAUCCUGGGGUUCAUAUUAUUAUUAUUAGGGAAUGGAAAUGUACUACUUUGCUUCC
RNA transcript from Cynara cardunculus var. scolymus (artichoke), 4174 nucleotides. It is a transcript of the gene named DENN domain and WD repeat-containing protein SCD1, with no coding region annotated. The record is from RefSeq and is a predicted model, not a curated record. NCBI's taxonomy places the organism in Eukaryota, Viridiplantae, Streptophyta, Magnoliopsida, Asterales, Asteraceae. The transcript has 32 exons.